Molecule: ribosomal RNA, 253 nt
Filed under: uncultured bacterium
Lineage: Bacteria
Description: partial 16S ribosomal RNA
Rfam family: Bacterial small subunit ribosomal RNA
Source: RNAcentral
UACGUAGGGACCGAGCGUUGUCCGGAAUCAUUGGGCGUAAAGAGCGUGUAGGCGGCCACUUAAGUCCUGCGUGAAAUCUUGCGGCUCAACCGCAAGCGGUCGUGGGAAACUGGGUGGCUAGAGUGCGGGAGAGGAGAGUGGAAUUCCUGGUGUAGUGGUGGAAUGCGCAGAUAUCAGGAAGAACACCCGUGGCGAAGGCGGCUCUCUGGAACGCAACUGACGCUGAGACGCGAAAGCGUGGGGAGCAAACAGG